GUGAAUCAUCGAAUCUUUGAACGCAAAUUGCACUUUCUGGUAUUCCGGAAAGUAUGCCUGUUUGAGGGUCAGUUAAAUAAAACUCGGUGUUGUUGCUGCCUUUCGUGGCGACGCGUCGGUCUUGGGUCGUCUUACCUUCGGUUAAGAGACUUACAAUUUUUGCAUGAUUUUCGAAGGUAUUUAAAUCGCUUACGUACGUUUGAGAUAUCGUAUGCUUCUUAGG
Molecule: unclassified non-coding RNA, 223 nt
Filed under: Glomus sp.
Lineage: Eukaryota; Fungi; Glomeromycota; Glomeromycetes; Glomerales; Glomeraceae
Description: partial contains 5.8S ribosomal RNA and internal transcribed spacer 2
Rfam family: 5.8S ribosomal RNA (bases 1-71)
Source: RNAcentral